GACGAACGCUGGCGGCGUGCCUAAUACAUGCAAGUAGAACGCACAGUUUAUACCGUAGCUUGCUACACCAUAAACUGUGAGUUGCGAACGGGUGAGUAACGCGUAGGUAACCUGCCUGGUAGCGGGGGAUAACUAUUGGAAACGAUAGCUAAUACCGCAUAAUAUUGAUUAUUGCAUGAUAAUUGAUUGAAAGAUGCUAUUGCAUCACUACCAGAUGGACCUGCGUUGUAUUAGCUAGUAGGUGAGGUAACGGCUCACCUAGGCGACGAUACAUAGCCGACCUGAGAGGGUGGUCGGCCACACUGGGACUGAGACACGGCCCAGACUCCUACGGGAGGGAGCAGGAGGGAAUCUUCGGCAAUGGACGAAAGUCUGACCGAGCAACGCCGCGGGAGUGAAGAAGGUUGUCGGAUCGGAAAGCUCGGUUGUAAGAGAAGAACGGGUGUGAGAGUGGAAAGUUCACACUGUGACGGUAUCUUACCAGAAAGGGACGGCUAACUACGUG
This 505-nucleotide ribosomal RNA is filed under the name uncultured bacterium. Its description in RNAcentral is "partial 16S ribosomal RNA". It matches the Rfam family "Bacterial small subunit ribosomal RNA", at positions 28 to 507 of the family's 1533-position model. The record is from RNAcentral.